UACGUAGGGUGCGAGCGUUGUCCGGAAUUAUUGGGCGUAAAGAGCUCGUAGGCGGUGUGUUACGUCGGCCGUGAAAACCUGCAGCUUAACUGUGGGCGUGCGGUCGAUACGGGCAUCACUGGAGUUCGGCAGGGGAGACUGGAAUUCCUGGUGUAGCGGUGAAAUGCGCAGAUAUCAGGAGGAACACCGGUGGCGAAGGCGGGUCUCUGGGCCGAUACUGACACUGAGGCGCGACAGCGUGGGGAGCAAACAGG
This 254-nucleotide ribosomal RNA is filed under the name uncultured bacterium. Its description in RNAcentral is "partial 16S ribosomal RNA". It matches the Rfam family "Bacterial small subunit ribosomal RNA", at positions 524 to 776 of the family's 1533-position model. The record is from RNAcentral.